This 737-nucleotide ribosomal RNA is filed under the name Providencia rettgeri. Its description in RNAcentral is "partial 23S ribosomal RNA". It matches the Rfam family "Bacterial large subunit ribosomal RNA", at positions 2194 to 2925 of the family's 2925-position model. The record is from RNAcentral. Lineage: Bacteria; Pseudomonadati; Pseudomonadota; Gammaproteobacteria; Enterobacterales; Morganellaceae.
GAAAUACCACCCUUUAAUGUUUGAUGUUCUAACGUUGCCCCGUUAUCCGGGGUGCGGACAGUGUCUGGUGGGUAGUUUGACUGGGGCGGUCUCCUCCCAAAGAGUAACGGAGGAGCACGAAGGUUGGCUAAGCAUGGUCGGACAUCAUGCGGUUAGUGCAAAGGCAUAAGCCAGCUUGACUGCGAGAGUGACGGCUCGAGCAGGUACGAAAGUAGGUCUUAGUGAUCCGGUGGUUCUGAAUGGAAGGGCCAUCGCUCAACGGAUAAAAGGUACUCCGGGGAUAACAGGCUGAUACCGCCCAAGAGUUCAUAUCGACGGCGGUGUUUGGCACCUCGAUGUCGGCUCAUCACAUCCUGGGGCUGAAGUAGGUCCCAAGGGUACGGCUGUUCGCCGUUUAAAGUGGUACGCGAGCUGGGUUUAGAACGUCGUGAGACAGUUCGGUCCCUAUCUGCCGUGGGCGUUGGAAGAUUGAAAGGGGCUGCUCCUAGUACGAGAGGACCGGAGUGGACGCACCACUGGUGUUCGGGUUGUCAUGCCAAUGGCAUUGCCCGGUAGCUAAGUGCGGAAGAGAUAACCGCUGAAAGCAUCUAAGCGGGAAACUUGCCUUGAGAUGAGUCUUCCCUGACCCUUUAAGGGUCCUAAAGGAACGUUUAAGACUAAGACGUUGAUAGGUUGGGUGUGUAAGCAUAGCGAUAUGUUGAGCUAACCAAUACUAAUGAACCGUGAGGCUUAACCUG